Fukomys damarensis (Damara mole-rat) is the source of this 382-nucleotide long non-coding RNA. RefSeq lists it as uncharacterized. The record is from RefSeq and is a predicted model, not a curated record. Lineage: Eukaryota; Metazoa; Chordata; Mammalia; Rodentia; Bathyergidae. The transcript is spliced from 3 exons.
CUGAGGGCUGGAAGCAGGGUAUUGCGGUUGCUGUUUGUUUUUCCCAUUCUAUCUUUGCAACCCCUUUGACCCUCUGGCGACUGGCACAGUCCAGCCAACUGUCAUCCUGGCCCCGCCCUCCUGCCAUAGGUCUGGACUAGCCCCGGGAAACCAUAGGCCGCGUACAAUAGGAAAACCAAAGCUCAGAGAAGUUAAGUAGCCCACGGAAGACCACACAGGGAGUAGCAGAGCUGCGGUGGAGACCUAAGUGUGUCCAGCUUUCUGCCUUGUCUUUCCCAAAGCUCAGCUUGCAAACACCGCCGCAGUCAAAGCCCUUGGAGCAUCACACCACCCGGCAAACAGCCCUUGGGCUUGGACUGGACAGUCGGGCCUCUCAGCAAAC